GUAGGUGAACCUGCGGAAGGAUCAUUAGUGAAUUUAGGGUGCUCUUUUCAGCGGAAGCGAUUAGAGGCCUGACCUCCACUUAUCCUAACACUGUGCAUUUAUCCGAGUUUGUAAUCCUUGAGUUCACGCUCAAGUCUUACUCGUCUAUCAUCUUUAACUUUAGUCAAAGAAUGUAAAUAAAAUUUAAUAAAUAAAACUUUCAACAACGGAUCUCUUGGCUCUCGCUUCGAUGAAGAACGCAGCGAAAUGUGAUAAGUAAUGUGAAUUGCAGAAUUCAGUGAAUCAUCGAAUCUUUGAACGCACCUUGCGCUCUCUGGUAUUCCGGAGAGCAUGCCUGUUUGAGUGUCAUGAACUCUUCAACCCACCAGUUUCUUGCUAAACUGCGCUGGUGUUUGGUUUCUGAACGUUGCUGGUUCCUUGUUGAACUUCAGCUCGCUUAAAAUACAUUAGCAUCUCCAAUUUCGAAACUUGGAUUGAUCAGCGUAAUAGACUUUUCGCUGGGGAC
This 505-nucleotide ribosomal RNA is filed under the name fungal sp. KRP27. RNAcentral's name for it is "eukaryotic LSU rRNA". The stretch from base 195 to 348 matches the Rfam family "5.8S ribosomal RNA". The record is from RNAcentral. Lineage: Eukaryota; Fungi.